UUGGAGGGCAAGUCUGGUGCCAGCAGCCGCGGUAAUUCCAGCUCCAAUAGCGUAUAUUUAAGUUGUUGCAGUUAAAAAGCUCGUAGUUGAAUUUCGGGGUUAGUAGGUUGGUCAUGCCACUGGUAUGUACUGGUCUCACUGAUUCCUCCUUCCUGAUGAGCCGUAAUGCCAUUAAUUUGGUGUUGCGAGGAAUCUGGACUGUUACUUUGAAAAAAUUAGAGUGUUUAAAGCAAGCUAACGCUUGAAUACAUUAGCAUGGAAUAAUGAAAUAGGACGUUCGAUCCUAUUUUGUUGGUUUCUAGGAUUGACGUAACGAUUAAUAGGGAUAGUUGGGGGCAUUAGUAUUCAAUUGUCAGAGGUGAAAUUCUUGGAUUUAUUGAAGACUAACUACUGCGAAAGCAUUUGCCAAGGAUGUUUUCAUUAAUCAAGAACGAAAGUUAGGGGAUCGAAGACGAUCAGAUACCGUCGUAGUCCUAACCAUAAACUAUGCCGACUAGGGAUCGGAUGAUGUUAAUUUUUUAAUGACUCAUUCGGCGCCUUACGGGAAACCAAAGUGUUUGGGUUC
This 565-nucleotide ribosomal RNA is filed under the name uncultured Glomeromycotina. RNAcentral's name for it is "SSU rRNA". It matches the Rfam family "Eukaryotic small subunit ribosomal RNA", at positions 548 to 1114 of the family's 1831-position model. Lineage: Eukaryota; Fungi; Glomeromycota. The record is from RNAcentral.